CCUCUUCCCAUUCCGAACAGAGAAGUUAAGCUCACUUACGCCGAUGGUACUGCGGUUAUCCCGUGGGAGAGUAGGUAGCCGCCUCUU
This 87-nucleotide ribosomal RNA is filed under the name Alistipes sp. An116. Lineage: Bacteria; Pseudomonadati; Bacteroidota; Bacteroidia; Bacteroidales; Rikenellaceae. The record is from RNAcentral.